This is a long non-coding RNA of Pantherophis guttatus, 421 nucleotides long. RefSeq lists it as uncharacterized. Lineage: Eukaryota; Metazoa; Chordata; Lepidosauria; Squamata; Colubridae. The record is from RefSeq and is a predicted model, not a curated record.
AAAGAAUAGAAGGCUUUUUUUAAUCUUGACGUAUUGUCUGAAAAUUCUAAAGAAUGGUGGUGUCUGAAAAAUUCUAAAGAAUGGAUGAAGUGCCAAAUGAUUGGUGGAUAACAAAUGUCCCUAACACUACUUCCAAUAAAGGCCUCUGCAAGACUUUUUUCACCAUAAACCUUCUGCCCUUUAACAUCAAAACUUGACUGAGGUGGAUUAAUCCUGUACGGGAAGGGCUACGCUGCCUACUGUAUGCCCUCCGAUAAGGCAAUAUGUACAGAGUGAUACUUUAAUGAAAAGAAAAUAACUUUUCAUAUAGUACUGAACCACAAAAUAUGCAUCUGUCUGUCCUUCGUGCUUGAUUAUAAUGGAUGUGUGUGCAUCUGUGUCUGUGUGUUUUAAGAUAAAGCCUUCUGGCAAUACAUCAAAA